This 465-nucleotide ribosomal RNA is filed under the name Vreelandella stevensii. RNAcentral's name for it is "partial 16S ribosomal RNA". It matches the Rfam family "Bacterial small subunit ribosomal RNA", at positions 338 to 795 of the family's 1533-position model. The record is from RNAcentral. Lineage: Bacteria; Pseudomonadati; Pseudomonadota; Gammaproteobacteria; Oceanospirillales; Halomonadaceae.
CCUACGGGAGGCAGCAGUGGGGAAUAAUGGACAAUGGGCGAAAGCCUGAUCCAGCCAUGCCGCGUGUGUGAAGAAGGCCUUCGGGUUGUAAAGCACUUUCAGUGGGGAAGAAAGCCUUGGGGCUAAUACCCUCGAGGAAGGACAUCACCCACAGAAGAAGCACCGGCUAACUCCGUGCCAGCAGCCGCGGUAAUACGGAGGGUGCGAGCGUUAAUCGGAAUUACUGGGCGUAAAGCGCGCGUAGGCGGUCUGAUAAGCCGGUUGUGAAAGCCCCGGGCUCAACCUGGGAACGGCAUCCGGAACUGUCAGGCUAGAGUGCAGGAGAGGAAGGUAGAAUUCCCGGUGUAGCGGUGAAAUGCGUAGAGAUCGGGAGGAAUACCAGUGGCGAAGGCGGCCUUCUGGACUGACACUGACGCUGAGGUGCGAAAGCGUGGGUAGCAAACAGGAUUAGAUACCCUAGUAGUC